CAAUUCCAGGUAACUUGGAUUUAAAAAGAAGCUCUCCAGGAUAUUCUGAUACUCGGUCAGCUUUGUGUACAAUGACUAUGAGAAUAUAAAGAUAUGUACUGUAAGCCAGAAUUCCUCCUCUCUAAUUAAAGAUAAUUACCUGAAUGACAUAGUAAUCAGAAACCCUUACAAACCAAACCAAACCAUAGAACAAAAUAAAACAAAAAAAUGGAAACUUCCACCACCUAAAAAUCAGUUUUCUUCAGCAAACACUUCCGGUCCUGGUUCGUUGCAGUUUUGAGAGUAGGUAUCUUGGCAUCUGACCUACCAGAAUGAAGAUCUCAGAUUCCAAGCCAACUUUUGCAUCAAGAAUCCUGACUGAUGGAGUCAAUCAAACAGUCAAUAUUUAACAAGUGCCUUCUACGGAAGUGGAUGAUGUUUGCUGAAGCUACAUGGUGACUUUUGGAAUGGCCUGCUAGAUUUAGAAAGAGUGAUGGAGAGAAUGCCAUUGAUGUGUGAACAGUUACUUCUGUUAAAGUAAAGAAGCCCAGGUGAUGAUGUUCAUUGUUUGUUCCUUCAAAAAAUCACCUAAUGAAUAUGUCAAGGAAUGGCAGUAAUCUUUACAUUAGCUCCUUACUUUACACUAAUCCUAUGGAAGGAAGGACCCUGUAAGCUUUUUGGCCCAGCUUCUGAACCAGGAGAGUGUUAGCUUCGAUCCCUCUUCACCAUGGUUGUUCUCAAAAUUCCCCCACGCAGACAGCUACAUCUGGAUCGACCUACACCUCUACUUACAUAUGCCUCGAAUGCAAAUAGUAUAUAGCAGUUGAUGAUUUCUUUAGAUAACAUCUAAAGAAGGACCAUGUGAGAAUGACCAAAUGAAGCCAUCAUAUGCAUAUUACAGACCACCAUUGUAGCUAGAUAUCUCAACACCAAGACCCCCUGCUUCCAAGGAAUGACACCUUGGCCCUUGUCUUUGUUCUAACUGAUUCCUGGAUGCCUGAGAGGACACAUACACCAAACCACAAUCCUUAAUAAAAACCACCAAACUCCAAGCAAAGACCAGACUCCCUCCUUUCCUAAGUCUCCAAGACACUCCAUGUGUAUCUGCUCUGAAUCUUCAGUAAACUCUGCUCUCACUUCCUGCUGGCUCAUGUUUGAUUUCCAUCCUGUGCAAAGCCAAAGACCCUCUUGGCUGGUUCUGCAGGACCUUUUCUGGAUCCUUGGACUCCACCUGCCAGCAUCAAAUGGAUAGUGUGAUAUGUUUACAAUAUGGAAUAUUAUUCAGUCAUAAAAGGAAGUGAAGUACUGAUCCAUGCUACUACACUGAACCUUGAAAAUAUCAUGCUAAGUGAAAGAAGCCAGAUACAAAAGGGUACCUAUCAUAGGACUCUAUUUAUAUGAAAUGUCCAGAAUAGGAAAAUCCAGAUACAGAAACUAAAUUAGUGGUAACUCCUAUAAGGGCUUGUGGGUUGGGGUAUGAGGAGUUACUGCUAAUGGAUAUGGGGUUUAUAAUGGGUAUGGGACUAGAUAGUGUUGAUACUUGCAUACAAGUAUUCAUGUGGACAGAGUGAUAGGAAUGCACUCAACAGUCCAGCUGUGUCGUGGCUGGCUGUUAUCUCUGCUUCCUUGUGUGGUUCUUGAUUAGAUCUGUUGUCUCAUUAUGUUUCAAUGCUCCUUUAACAAAAGCCCAUCCUCUGUUCACACAAGAAGUUUGUGUUUUCUUUCUUGAUUUCUUCUGAGCUUUCUUUUUGACAAUUGUUGAACAUUUAGUCAACUCUUUGAGAAACACUUGUUUCAGGGUCGAAGGUGCCUGGGUGUCAGAGGUUAUUUCUAUGUGCUUUUAAACUUGAUGUAAGAGAAAAUUGGCUGCACACCUUUUUGUGGCAUGAUUUUGGCAGUUUUUUUUUUUGUUUCCUUUUCUCCUAGAUUAUCUAUUAGAAAAAAAUCAAAUGGUCAUUCUUGCUCUGGCAGCUAUAACUAAUUUUUUCCCAGACAGAAUUAUAUUGGCUGUUAUUGGUUACACUUAAAAAAACUUCCAAAGAUAGAGUGAUCCUCUAAAAGAAUAUUUUUAUUUAAAAAUAUAACACAUCAAAGUGAAGCAGUUACAGUUUAAACAAAUAAGACAUAAAACCUUUUCUUUGAAUUCAGAGGGAGGGCAAUUUGCUUUAGUUCACAGUCACUCCGGAUGCCAAGAAUAAGAACUGUUCCCAUUUUUUCCCUCUGUGAGCAUCAGUUAUUAAGAUGAGAAAUUUUAGUUAUAAGUGAAGUUUUAGAGUUUUAAUUUUAUUCAGUAACUAAAGCUUUUUCAGUACAAUACCUUUUCUUCAUUUUGUUCUGCAUCUUGAGGAAGACCUGAAUUCAGUGAUGUUCUUACCUUUACUGAGUGUUAUAGACUGAAUGUCUGUGUCCUUCCCAAAUUCAUAUGCUGAAAUCCUGACUUCCAAUGUGGUAGCAUUAU
Molecule: long non-coding RNA, 2437 nt
Organism: Canis lupus familiaris (dog)
Lineage: Eukaryota; Metazoa; Chordata; Mammalia; Carnivora; Canidae
Exons: 6
Source: RefSeq, a predicted model, not a curated record